This 87-nucleotide ribosomal RNA is filed under the name Stylophora sp. A JFF-2011. Its description in RNAcentral is "partial 5.8S ribosomal RNA". It matches the Rfam family "5.8S ribosomal RNA", at positions 68 to 154 of the family's 154-position model. Rfam says of the family: 5.8S ribosomal RNA (5.8S rRNA) is a component of the large subunit of the eukaryotic ribosome. Lineage: Eukaryota; Metazoa; Cnidaria; Anthozoa; Scleractinia; Pocilloporidae. The record is from RNAcentral.
UGAAUUGCAGAAUUCAGUGAAUCAUCGAGUCUUUGAACGCAAAUGGCGCUCUUGGGUUCUCCCAGGAGCAUGUCUGUCUGAGUGUCU